UACGGAGGAUGCGAGCGUUAUCCGGAUUUAUUGGGUUUAAAGGGUGCGCAGGCGGAUUUUUAAGUCAGCGGUCAAAUCGUGGGGCUCAACCCCAUCCAGCCGUUGAAACUGGGGAUCUAGAGUGUGCGAGAGGUAUGCGGAAUGCGUGGUGUAGCGGUGAAAUGCAUAGAUAUCACGCAGAACCCCGAUUGCGAAGGCAGCAUACCGGUGCACAACUGACACUCAGGCACGAAAGCGUGGGUAUCGAACAGG
This 252-nucleotide ribosomal RNA is filed under the name uncultured bacterium. RNAcentral's name for it is "partial 16S ribosomal RNA". It matches the Rfam family "Bacterial small subunit ribosomal RNA", at positions 524 to 776 of the family's 1533-position model. The record is from RNAcentral.